RNAcentral lists this ribosomal RNA (327 nucleotides) under uncultured eukaryote. RNAcentral's name for it is "partial 18S ribosomal RNA". It matches the Rfam family "Eukaryotic small subunit ribosomal RNA", at positions 1470 to 1796 of the family's 1831-position model. The record is from RNAcentral.
CCCUUAGAUGUUCUGGGCCGCACGCGCGCUACACUGAUUCAUGCGACAAGUUUUGUCCUUGGCUGAUAGGCCUGGGUAAUCUUUGAACGUGAAUCGUGAUGGGGAUAGAUGAUUGCAAUUAUUCAUCUUCAACGAGGAAUUCCUAGUAAACGCAAGUCAUCAGCUUGCAUUGAUUACGUCCCUGCCCUUUGUACACACCGCCCGUCGCACCUACCGAUUGAAUGGUCCGGUGAAAUCUUCGGAUCUGAGAGAUGUCUGAUUAAUUUCGGACGCCUUUUGGAAAAGUUGCUUAAACCUUACCAUUUAGAGGAAGGUGAAGUCGUAACA